RNAcentral lists this ribosomal RNA (112 nucleotides) under uncultured eukaryote. Its description in RNAcentral is "partial small subunit ribosomal RNA". It matches the Rfam family "Bacterial small subunit ribosomal RNA", at positions 1416 to 1525 of the family's 1533-position model. The record is from RNAcentral.
UCUACCCGACGGCCGUGCGCUAACCUUUCGAGGAGGCAGCGGACCACGGUAGGCUCAGCGACUGGGGUGAAGUCGUAACAAGGUAGCCGUAGGUGAACCUGCAGAAGGAUCA